UAGCUCAGAGGGUAAAGCAUCUGCCUGAAAUGCAGGAGACUCAGGUUCAAUCCCUGG
RNAcentral lists this transfer RNA (57 nucleotides) under Ovis aries (sheep). It matches the Rfam family "tRNA", at positions 8 to 63 of the family's 71-position model. From Rfam's summary of the family: Transfer RNA (tRNA) molecules are approximately 80 nucleotides in length. The record is from Rfam by way of RNAcentral. Lineage: Eukaryota; Metazoa; Chordata; Mammalia; Artiodactyla; Bovidae.